AUUUUAUGUAUAUACGUUUAUUAGAGAAUACUAGUUUUUGUAAGCAGUCAUAAAUGAUUUGGCAUAAUAAUUGUUGUCGAACGCCAUACUCAUGAUAUGCAAUAAAACAAAAACAAAACAAAACAAAAACAAAACAAAAAAAAACAAAAACAAAAUUAAACAAACAAAACAAAAUAUUACACGAUACCAGUUUUAAUGCCGUAUUGACGAGCGCCCCUAAGACGGCUAAUAUUCCAUCGGCUAUUUUUAGAGUCAAAUUUUUGGGGGUCUUAACUGCACCUCAGUUUUAAAAGUUUUUGUCUGGGCAACACG
Molecule: long non-coding RNA, 312 nt
Filed under: Mytilus galloprovincialis (Mediterranean mussel)
Lineage: Eukaryota; Metazoa; Mollusca; Bivalvia; Mytilida; Mytilidae
Source: RNAcentral